RNAcentral lists this ribosomal RNA (376 nucleotides) under uncultured organism. Its description in RNAcentral is "bacterial SSU rRNA". It matches the Rfam family "Archaeal small subunit ribosomal RNA", at positions 476 to 851 of the family's 1478-position model. The record is from RNAcentral.
CCAGCACCCCGAGUGGUCGGGACGAUUAUUGGGCCUAAAGCAUCCGUAGCCGGUUUUACAAGUCCUCCGUUAAAUCCAGCUGCUUAACAGAUGGGCUGCGGAGGAUACUAUAAGACUAGGAGGCAGGAGAGGCAAGCGGUACUCAGUGGGUAGGGGUAAAAUCCGUUGAUCCAUUGAAGACCACCAGUGGCGAAGGCGGCUUGCCAGAAUGCGCUCGACGGUGAGGGAUGAAAGCUGGGGGGAGCAAACCGGAUUAGAUACCCGGGUAGUCCCAGCUGUAAACGAUGCAGACUCGGUGAUGGACUAGCUUUAUGCUAGUCCAGUGCCGCAGGGAAGCCGUUAAGUCUGCCGCCUGGGUAGUACGGUCGCAAGACUG